CUUGUUCCUGCUUUAUCUGCAGAGGUUCUGGUUCCAAUUGAUCCCAUUUUAUCUGCAGAGGUUCUGGUUCCUCUUGAUCCCAUUUUAUCUGCAGAGGUUCUGUUUCCUCUUGCUCCCGUUUCAUCUGCAGAGGUUCUGGUUCCUCUUCUUCCCUUUUCAUCUGCAGAGGUUCUGGUUCCUCUUGCUCCCGUUUCAUCUGCAGAGGUUCUGGUUCCUCUUGCUCCCGUUUCAUCUGCAGAGGUUCUGGUUCGUCUUGUUCCU
Molecule: non-coding RNA, 261 nt
Organism: Poecilia reticulata (guppy)
Lineage: Eukaryota; Metazoa; Chordata; Actinopteri; Cyprinodontiformes; Poeciliidae
Source: RefSeq, a predicted model, not a curated record